This 373-nucleotide ribosomal RNA is filed under the name uncultured bacterium. RNAcentral's name for it is "bacterial SSU rRNA". It matches the Rfam family "Bacterial small subunit ribosomal RNA", at positions 525 to 896 of the family's 1533-position model. The record is from RNAcentral.
ACGGAGGGUGCGAGCGUUGUCCGGAAUCACUGGGCGUAAAGGGCGUGUAGGCGGCUGCGUAAGCCGCGUGUGAAAGCCCGGGGCUCAACCCCGGAACGGCACGCGGGACUGCGUGGCUAGAGCAUGGUAGAGGCGAGUGGAAUUCCUGGUGUAGCGGUGGAAUGCGUAGAGAUCAGGAAGAACACCGGUGGCGAAGGCGGCUCGCUGGGCCAUUGCUGACGCUGAGGCGCGAAAGCGUGGGGAGCAAACAGGAUUAGAUACCCUGGUAGUCCACGCUGUAAACGAUGGGCACUAGGCGUCGGGGGGAGCGACCCUCCCGGUGCCGUCGCUAACGCAAUAAGUGCCCCGCCUGGGGAGUACGGCCGCAAGGUUG